AGAGGUGUGGCUCAGGUGGUAGAGUGCCUGCCUAGCAAGCACAAAGCCCUGAGUUCAGACCUCAGUAUUACCA
Molecule: transfer RNA, 73 nt
Filed under: Dipodomys ordii (Ord's kangaroo rat)
Lineage: Eukaryota; Metazoa; Chordata; Mammalia; Rodentia; Heteromyidae
Rfam family: tRNA
About the family: Transfer RNA (tRNA) molecules are approximately 80 nucleotides in length. Their secondary structure includes four short double-helical elements and three loops (D, anti-codon, and T loops). Further hydrogen bonds mediate the characteristic L-shaped molecular structure. tRNAs have two regions of fundamental functional importance: the anti-codon, which is responsible for specific mRNA codon recognition, and the 3' end, to which the tRNAs corresponding amino acid is attached (by aminoacyl-tRNA synthetases). tRNAs cope with the degeneracy of the genetic code in two manners: having more than one tRNA (with a specific anti-codon) for a particular amino acid; and 'wobble' base-pairing, i.e. permitting non-standard base-pairing at the 3rd anti-codon position.
Source: Rfam by way of RNAcentral